AGGGGUAUAGCUCAGUGGUAGAGCCUGUGCUUAGCAUGCACAAGGUCCUGGGUUCAAUCCCCAGUCCCUCCA
Molecule: transfer RNA, 72 nt
Filed under: Camelus bactrianus (Bactrian camel)
Lineage: Eukaryota; Metazoa; Chordata; Mammalia; Artiodactyla; Camelidae
Also listed under: 2 other names
Rfam family: tRNA
About the family: Transfer RNA (tRNA) molecules are approximately 80 nucleotides in length. Their secondary structure includes four short double-helical elements and three loops (D, anti-codon, and T loops).
Source: Rfam by way of RNAcentral